Molecule: ribosomal RNA, 304 nt
Filed under: uncultured bacterium
Lineage: Bacteria
Description: partial 16S ribosomal RNA
Rfam family: Bacterial small subunit ribosomal RNA
Source: RNAcentral
CAGCAGUAGCCGCGGUAAUACGUAGGUGGCAAGCGUUGUCCGGAAUUAUUGGGCGUAAAGGGCUCGCAGGCGGUUUCUUAAGUCUGAUGUGAAAGCCCCCGGCUCAACCGGGGAGGGUCAUUGGAAACUGGGAAACUUGAGUGCAGAAGAGGAGAGUGGAAUUCCACGUGUAGCGGUGAAAUGCGUAGAGAUGUGGAGGAACACCAGUGGCGAAGGCGACUCUCUGGUCUGUAACUGACGCUGAGGAGCGAAAGCGUGGGGAGCGAACAGGAUUAGAGACCCCGGUAGUCCCUGUCUCUUAUAC